AACAGAUGCUAUUUUUAUGAAUGACCAAUCCCCUAAGCACAAAUGUAAUCAUUAAAUUCAUCAAUCCUUUCCAAGCAAAGUGUUUCACUCAAUCACUCAAGUGUUUAAGGAGAUCACUUUUCUCUCUACUAUCCUCUUGUCACAAGCAACAAAAUUGACUUGCAUCUAAUACAACCAACAUUCUCACACACAUAUGUCAUCAAAAGGACUUUUUCAAGGCUUAUAACUUGGGUGGGCUUAACAAGAAAUAUUGGUUUUUCAGAUCACAAAAUCCUUGAGUUAAGAGAGUUAUUCAAUAUUCAUAGUUCAAGCACAACUCUCUUUCAACCAAUCUACUUAUUCCCAACUUUUCCCUUUUUCUUUUGCAUUGAGCCUUAUCUUUCAUGCUUUUCUUUUAUUUUCUAUUCUUCUCAUGCUUUUAUCAUUCAACACAUUUUACUAAAUGCUUUUUUUUCUUUUUCCUUUCAGCUUCCCCCAACAACCCCAAACUUGAACCUUUAUCAAUACCAUAAAAUAUUUCUCAACAUAACUCAAGGUAAAGAUUUUUAUCAACAAGGUUUUCAAAGUAUCUCAGGCUAAGGUUCAAAAAGGGUAGAACAUAUGGUUCUAUUUACUUUGGGCGAAAAUUUUGCUAAAUAACGGCUUCCCAAAAUGGC
Molecule: long non-coding RNA, 656 nt
Filed under: Vigna radiata
Lineage: Eukaryota; Viridiplantae; Streptophyta; Magnoliopsida; Fabales; Fabaceae
Description: long non-coding RNA (VRAD_LNC008295)
Source: RNAcentral